CAAUAGCGUAUACUAAUGUUGUUGCAGUUAAAAAGCUCGUAGUUGAACUUCUGGUAGGAGUGUCCCGGCCUUUUUGUUUUUACAAAUUGUAUGCUGUGUGACAUCUCUGGCCAUCCUUCUUCUUUGUUUAAAGAAGAUCUUUCACUGUAAAAAAAUUAGGGUGUUCAAAGCAAAAGUUUCUUUGGAAUAUAUUAGUAUGGGAUGAUAAGAUAGGCUCUAGAUGCUAUUUUGUUGGUUUGCACAUUUAGAGAAUGGUUAACAGGGACAGUUGGGGGUAUUCGUAUUUACAUGUCAGAGGUGAAAUUCUUGGAUUUUGGAAAGACGAACUACUGCGAAAGCAUUUACCAAGGAUGUUUUCAUUAA
This 363-nucleotide ribosomal RNA is filed under the name uncultured eukaryote. RNAcentral describes it as "partial 18S ribosomal RNA". It matches the Rfam family "Eukaryotic small subunit ribosomal RNA", at positions 592 to 976 of the family's 1831-position model. The record is from RNAcentral.